AAUAAAUAACAAUACCGGGCUUUUUCAAGUCUGGUAAUUGGAAUGAGAACAAUCUAAAUCCCUUAUCGAGGAUCAAUUGGAGGGCAAGUCUGGUGCCAGCAGCCGCGGUAAUUCCAGCUCCAAUAGCGUAUAUUUAAGUUGUUGCAGUUAAAAAGCUCGUAGUUGGAUUUCGGGCGUGGAGGUUCGGUCCGCCGUUUCGGUGUGCACUGUCUGUCUGCGUCUUUCUGCCGGGGACGCGCUUCUGGCCUUAAUUGGCUGGGACGUGGAUUCGGCGAUGUUACUUUGAAAAAAUUAAAGUGUUCAAAGCAAGCUAAAGCUCUGAAUACAUUAGCAUGGAAUAACGCGAGAGGACUCGGUCCUUAUUUUGUUGGUCUUCAAGGAUUGAGUAAUGAUUAAGAGGGACAGUUGGGGGCAUUCGUAUUUCAUUGUCAGAGGUGAAAUUCUUGGAUUUAUGAAAAGACGAACUUCUGCGAAAGCAUUUGCCAAGGAUGUUUUCAUUGAUCAAAAACGAAAGUUGGGGGCUCGAAGAUGAU
RNAcentral lists this ribosomal RNA (533 nucleotides) under Pycnococcus provasolii. Its description in RNAcentral is "SSU rRNA". It matches the Rfam family "Eukaryotic small subunit ribosomal RNA", at positions 472 to 1008 of the family's 1831-position model. Lineage: Eukaryota; Viridiplantae; Chlorophyta; Pseudoscourfieldiophyceae; Pseudoscourfieldiales; Pycnococcaceae. The record is from RNAcentral.